CACACACACACACACACACAAUUGUUCCUGAGUUUAUUUGAUAGAAACUGAUCCAUUGAAUCAUUUUGUUUUUGUGAAAAAUUGUGAUUUGCUUUAUGCUUAUCUUCCUUUAAGAAACUAUUUUGCCAUGAGAAAAAUGUAUGAUAUGCACAUUCAAUUCGCUGAUCUGAAUGCCGUUGUGAUUUUUUUUUUUUUUUGGUAAUUGAUGUGGUAAGUGUUCUUUUGGAUGAAAUUGGUUUAGUUGAUUUGAUUGCUGAGAAGUAUUGUGACUGGUUAUUUUAUAUUUUUAGCGGUAACAGUUCUCUAGUUUAUAGUGUUUCGAUGAAUUUGGUUAUCUCAGAAAUGAUAAUUUACUCUUGUUUGGUACAGGUG
This 372-nucleotide unclassified non-coding RNA is filed under the name Hevea brasiliensis (rubber tree). Lineage: Eukaryota; Viridiplantae; Streptophyta; Magnoliopsida; Malpighiales; Euphorbiaceae. The record is from RNAcentral.